AUGCAAUCUUAUAUGCACAUAAUGCAGAAUGAAAAGUUAUUUUCUAUGGAAAAUUUAAACCGAAACCUACAAUAUUACAGUGAUGAACUUCCUUCAUUGCUGAAUGGUCCCAGUCCAAUGUGAAGACACUGUAUGUUUGUUUUGGUUUAUUAAAAUAUAGAAUGAAAUAUCUGCUUAAACACUUGCAAAUUUUAGAUAAUGUUUGAAACUCUGCAGAUUUCAGUUCAGUGUCAGGAUGACCAAUUCGGGUUGGAUGCUGAAGUGGUUUAUGAUGAAAAAUUCUUUCCCUUACGAAGGUGCAAUCCAUUUGUGACUGGGUCAUAUCACAGGGGACGAGUUCCUGGGCAGAAUCAGGAUACUGGCGUGUCUCCAGGAUUCAUAGCACCUGAUGGCAUGGGCGGCAAUGGCCAAGAGCUGAUGAACAGAGAUGAACGCUAUAAAAAAGAGAAGCGUGUGCAUCCAAAGGGAAAGAAGAAAAAGGUUAAGAGAGGCGAGAACACAGCUUCACCAUUAAAGAGGAAAAUCAUCCAGUCAGCAUCUGACAGUAACGAAAUGUGAUUUGAUUAAUAAGAUAAAUAACACCUAUUUUCUUGUUUAAAGUGAUAGUUCACCCAAAAAUUCUGUCAUUAAUUACUCACCCUCAUGUUGUUUCAAACCCGUAAGACCUUUGUUCACCUUUGGGACACAAACUAAGUUAUUUUUGAUGAAAUGCGAGAGCUGUCUGACCCUGAAUAGACAGCAACGGAACUAUCACGUUCAAGCCCAGAAAGGUAGUAAGAACAAUCAUUAAAAUAGUCCAUGCGGCAUCAGUGAUGGACAGCGUUGCUGUCUAUGCAGGGUCAGACAGCUCUCGGAUUUUAUCGAUAGCUUAGUUUGUGUUCUGAAGAUGAAUGAAGGUCUUACAGGUUUGGAACGACACAAGGGUAAUUAAUUACAGAAUUUUCAUUUUUGGGUGAACUGUCCCUUUAACGUAGCAUACACACUGCUUUUCUAUAAGCUUAAGCAGCACUUAAAAGCUUUAUAAACUUUGAAUCUAUAACUCUAACUUUCUGUACUCUUUAAAUAAAUUCUUUCAAAAGGAC
Molecule: long non-coding RNA, 1082 nt
Organism: Cyprinus carpio carpio
Lineage: Eukaryota; Metazoa; Chordata; Actinopteri; Cypriniformes; Cyprinidae
Source: Ensembl